RNAcentral lists this long non-coding RNA (3912 nucleotides) under Homo sapiens (human). RNAcentral's name for it is "HSALNT0079864". Lineage: Eukaryota; Metazoa; Chordata; Mammalia; Primates; Hominidae. The record is from RNAcentral.
UCAAGCACAAAGCCAUUUUGCUUGGAUCAUGAACCAGGCCAAUGGACUGACUGAGAGACAUUGUUUGUUGGAAGUCUGGCGUGUGUAGAUCUACUUCUGAACGAAAUUUAUUUUGCACAGUUUUGAAGUCUGGGACGUCCAAAAUCAAGACACAAGCAGGUCUGGUGUCUGGUGAGAGUUGCUUGUUCUGCUUCCAAGAUGGUGCCGUGGUACUGUAUUCUCAGGAGGGCACAGAUGCUGUUUUCUCACAUGGCAGAAGAAAUGGAAGGGACCAGUUCAUCCAACAUCCCUUAGAGAUGCCAGCAUCAGCUGUCUGCUUACCCAUCCUGCAGUGGAGGUUUGAAUCCCGGCUUCCAGUCUCUUUCUCUGACUCAGAGACAUCAUGGCCAGCUGAACACCGUGCCCUACUCUGAGAUCCCAGAGAGGAGAGGGCAUCAUGCCUCACAGGGCCCGUGGGAAAGGAAGAGUUAUCUGGGACACGCAUGCUCAACCAGCUGGUGGGAAGCAAGAAAAGAAGAGAGAGAGCAAGAGACCAAAGAGUCAAAGCUUUCAUUGGGUUCCAAAGCAUUACCCAAGCAGGUUUCCCGAAGAGAGCUCUAAACAGUGAGUUUAAAGCAAGCAGGUACAAGUUCCAGAAGAUCACACUGUGACUGACAGGAGGUCACUAUGCCAUAUCUACGCAGUCCAUGUGGGGUACAAGGGUCUGAGGAGUGAGUCACAUAGGCUGUUUCUAGCUGUCCUAUAGGAAGGUGGUCAUCAAAAAGCAGUUGUGAAAGGCAGAUAUCUGGAUCCAUCACACUGAAGAACUGGGAGGAGUUAGAGAGUUGUAGACUAUAUCAAGGGUAAUUCCUGUUUCUGGUAUGAGAAAGUCCAAUUUAAAUUUAAAAUAAAGGCUUAGGCAACAUGGGAUUAUAAGAAUUCACUACAGCUACUCUAAUGUAGAGAUGAUGGGGGAUCUAGAGGGAGCUAUGUGUACUGGAGAUUCCUUUUCCCCAAGUUGAUGACAGCUGAUGAGCUUGACUAGGUCAUUAUAAACAUACAUAUUUAUAUGUAUAUUUACAUAUACAUAAUCUGUAUAACCUGUAUUUUCUCCUUGCAUCACUGUAAUAUGUGCCAAAAAAUAUAAAGUUUGAUAUGCAGUUUAACACUUAUCUCCUAUUAUCAAAUGCAAGUUGAAGGUUUUCCCUUAGAUUGUGCGAAGAAUUGUAUUCUCCUUCUAUAUGCAUAUGUAUGAUAAUAUUGUUAGUUAUCCAAUAAUGUUAUUGUGAAAAGAAAUUACAAAUAGGAUAUUUAGCCAUAAUUUUCAAAGGAUGACAUGUGGAGACUACAUCAGAAUUGGCCAAUUAUUCAAUAAAAGUGUAGAUAACUUGGUCCUACCCCUGUCUACUAAAUCAUAAUCUCUGAGAAGAGUCUAGGCACUUGUAUUUCUAACUAAUUCACAGGUGGAAGUUAGGCACAAUAAAGUUUAAGAAAUACUUGCAGAUUUAGGUGAUUAAUAUAAGUACUAGAUUAUUAUAUACCAGGUAUCAAAAGAAUAUUUGGUAUCAUGAAAUAAAUUUUAAAAUAAAUAGAAUUUCAUUUUCAAUAGUAAUACUCAACAUUGGUACCAUUAAACUUGACAUUUGGAAUACAACUUUGAGAUUGAAACCCAUACGAAAACUUGCAAAUGCUUUAUGCCUUUUCCUUUCUUAAAUAACAUCUUCUCAUUCCAAGGUUGUAAAAUAUUUUGACAUAAAAUCAGUAUAUAGAAUAGUUUGUUUCAGCAAUAAAAAAUAAUCACAGGAAAUUUAGGGACAGAAGGUUAUUUACAUUACCUCUACCAAUUACGUAAUUUCACAGAGAGCAAGACAAAGUGGUAGUUAAAUGCUUCUAUUGAAGCAUUGCAGUUAGAAAAGAGUUGCAGUUAGAAUUGCAGUUAGAAAAGAGCCAGUAUUUGAACCUACACUUAGUAAUAUCUUACCUGUUCUCCACUGUCUUCCUUCUACACUACUAUACCUUUCUCUUUGUUUUUUUGUUUUUUCUCACAUGGUGAAUAUCUUCUAAUCAAAUCACAAUAUGGCCUCAAACAAUAUAUGACUAAGGUGUUUUGAGGAACAGAUUGGAUGUAUGGUCUGAUUUUAUCCAUGCACUAUUGCACGUAGGAAAUUCUAACUGAAGUCAGUGCUCAACCUCCACUGUGAAAAAGAAGAAAAACUGAAAAUGACACAACUCUCCAUACAGACAUAAAUCACCCAGAACACUAUUUCUGGAUAUUAAGCCAAAUUCUCUCUAUUCUUUCUAUUCAAAUAAACAAGACUAAGCAUGAGAAAAAUGAAGCUGGAAAAAAAAAAACACAGAAAGUUCUGUCUUUAUUCAAAGAAAGCCAAAUCUAUUUUCAACGUUAUUUCUGUCUGGCAGAAUAGAUUGUGUGUGUGUAUUUUCUUAAUAAUAUGUGAAGAGUAAAUCUGAGACCCAGACUUUGUGUGGUUAAAUAUGGGAGACUGACAAUGUGUUUCUCUCCACUGAUUUUGCAGCCCCUCUAAAUGAGAGUGAGCAUGCACAAAAUAUGCAUAAAACAUUAAGGGCAGAUAGAAUAGCUGAGACAAUGAAGUCAGAGAAGUUAUUUUUAGAAACCAGAAAAUAGAUGGACAAGUGGUAACAUAUUUAGGAAACUAGAGGAAGUUGUGUUCUAACUCUAUUUUGAUGUGUCCCCAACCUUCAUAGUUUUUAUGUCAGUGCAGCAAAUAUCUUCAUUCUUUGGCCAUUGUGAUCCUUUUCCAUUGGCUCCUGUGUACUUUAAACAACACCCCAGUACCUUUGAAAGCUUCUUUAUUUUCUGAUUUAUAGAGCUCGGUCAAGUCCAUUUUAUAUGCUUUCUGCCUCUAACCUGAAAGCUGUUUCUCCAAAGAGUCCUGGUUACUUUGAGUGUGAAAGAAAUAUUCAGAGAUCAUAAUCUGGGCACCCAGUGUGAUCAUUUUGACUGAGUCUGUUCACUUCACCCCAAAGUAAUUCUAUCAAUACUGUUGGUUUGGUAUGACCCAGUUUCAGGUUCAUUCUUCUCAAAGCAGUCUUGCCAUUUGACUCUUCGCUCAUUGUCAUGUUUUUAGAAACUCUAAAUAUUCACUGUCCCGAAGUGUGACACAUGAGACAUUAUCAACAGAAUUUAGGAAAUAAUUUAAUAUGAUGCUGUCACUGUCUAACAUUCUUGCUUAAGAGUGGGGAAAGAUUAUUUUUAGCUGCCAUGAUGUUAGUGUUGAUGACAGGACAAGAGAGUUUGUGGCUAUUUGUAUUCUCACAACAAACUUUAUACUACUUCUUAAUAAAAAUUUCCAUUUUCGUGUGUGUAUUGUGAAGCCUAAUUGUCAACCAAGUACACUUUGACUUCUAAUCAUAUUUCCAAAGGUAUGAUGAAAAAAUAGACACUUAGAAGACAUAACACAUAUAGUACCUUCUUAAAGGCAGUUUUCAACCUAUUUCAGGAGACAAACAUAAUACUAAAGCAAGAUUUAAGAAAAAACACACAGAAUAGACAAAGCUGUGGAAUAAUAUAAUAGAUAUAUCAAUUAUAUAUAAUUUUAGAAGAGAAAUAAAUUUGAGCAAGAAAUCCAUCCAUUCAUUUAUAUAUUCAUUCAGAUAUUUACGUAUCUUUUUGUGGGGAAAAGCAAGAGAGAUCAGAUUGUUACUGUGUCUGUGUAGAAAGAAGUAGACAUAGGAGACUCCAUUUUGUUAUGUACUAAGAAAAAUUCUGCCUUGAGAUUCUGUGACCUUACCCCCAACCCCGUGCUCUCUGAAACAUGUGCUGUGUCAACUCAGAGUUGAAUGGAUUAAGGGCGGUGCAAGAUGUGCUUUGUUAAACAGAUGCUUGAAGGCAGCAUGCUCCUUAAGAGUCAUCACCACUCCCUAAUCUCAAGUACCCAGGGACACAAAAACUGC